UACAGAGGGUGCAAGCGUUGUUCGGAAUUAUUGGGCGUAAAGCGCGCGUAGGCGGCGCGGUAUGUCGUGCGUGAAAUCUCCCGGCUUAACUGGGAGGGGCCGUGCGAAACUGCCGGGCUUGAGGUCGGAAGGGGAAAGUGGAAUUCCGGGUGUAGUGGUGGAAUACGUAGAUAUCCGGAGGAACACCAGCGGCGAAGGCGGCUUUCUGGUCCGAUACUGACGCUGAGGUGCGAAAGCGUGGGGAGCGAUCCGG
Molecule: ribosomal RNA, 253 nt
Filed under: uncultured bacterium
Lineage: Bacteria
Description: partial 16S ribosomal RNA
Rfam family: Bacterial small subunit ribosomal RNA
Source: RNAcentral